Molecule: ribosomal RNA, 450 nt
Filed under: uncultured bacterium
Lineage: Bacteria
Description: partial 16S ribosomal RNA
Rfam family: Bacterial small subunit ribosomal RNA
Source: RNAcentral
GUGGGGAAUAUUGGACAAUGGGCGAAAGCCUGAUCCAGCCAUGCCGCGUGUGUGAAGAAGGUCUUCGGAUUGUAAAGCACUUUAAGUUGGGAGGAAGGGCAGUAAGUUAAUACCUUGCUGUUUUGACGUUACCGACAAAAUAAGCACCGGCUAACUUCGUGCCAGCAGCCGCGGUAAUACGAAGGGUGCAAGCGUUAAUCGGAAUUACUGGGCGUAAAGCGCGCGUAGGUGGUUCAGCAAGUUGGAGGUGAAAUCCCCGGGCUCAACCUGGGAACUGCCUCCAAAACUACUGGGCUAGAGUACGGUAGAGGGUAGUGGAAUUUCCUGUGUAGCGGUGAAAUGCGUAGAUAUAGGAAGGAACACCAGUGGCGAAGGCGACUACCUGGACUGAUACUGACACUGAGGUGCGAAAGCGUGGGGAGCAAACAGGAUUAGAAACCCUGGUAGUCC